This 484-nucleotide ribosomal RNA is filed under the name uncultured bacterium. RNAcentral describes it as "partial 16S ribosomal RNA". It matches the Rfam family "Bacterial small subunit ribosomal RNA", at positions 29 to 507 of the family's 1533-position model. The record is from RNAcentral.
AAUGAACGCUGGCGGCAUGCCUAACACAUGCAAGUCGAGCGAAUGAAGGAAAAUUGCGCCUUGCUUCAGUGACGGACGGGCGGGUAAGUAAUAGGUAGAUGACCUGCCUAGAGGGAUAACGUAAGGUAAGGGAAGCUGAGAUAGUAUACGUUCAGAGGGUGAACGGCAUGGUUCUACAGUCCAAACGCGACUAGCUGUGCCUAGGACGUAUUAGCUAGUUGGUGAGGUAAAGGCCUACCAAGGCGACGAUCCGUAGCAGCCCUGAGAGGCUGAUCAGUCACACUGGAACUGAGACACGGUCCAGACUCCUACGGGAGGCAGCAGUAGGGAAUAUUCGACAAUGGGCGAAAGCCUGAUGCAGCCACGCCGCGUGAGUGAUGAAGGUCUUCGGAUCGUAAAACUCUGUAAGUAGGGAGGAACGUAAGUGUAUGUAACCGUUGAUAUCUUGACGUUACCUACACAGAAAGCAACGGCUAACUACGUG